This 72-nucleotide transfer RNA is filed under the name Gyrodactylus derjavinoides. Its description in RNAcentral is "tRNA-Glu". Lineage: Eukaryota; Metazoa; Platyhelminthes; Monogenea; Gyrodactylidea; Gyrodactylidae. The record is from RNAcentral.
AUUACAUCAGUGUAAAUUGUGAAUGCAUAUGAACUUUUCGUGUUCAAGGAAGCGGUAAAUUGCUAUGUAAUA